RNAcentral lists this unclassified non-coding RNA (433 nucleotides) under uncultured Russula. Its description in RNAcentral is "sequence contains ITS2". The stretch from base 1 to 154 matches the Rfam family "5.8S ribosomal RNA". Lineage: Eukaryota; Fungi; Basidiomycota; Agaricomycetes; Russulales; Russulaceae. The record is from RNAcentral.
AACUUUCAGCAACGGAUCUCUUGGCUCUCGCAUCGAUGAAGAACGCAGCGAAAUGCGAUACGUAAUGUGAAUUGCAGAAUUCAGUGAAUCCUCGAAUCUUUGAACGCACCUUGCGCCCCUUGGAAUUCCGAGGGGCACACCCGUUUGAGUGUCGUGAACAUCCUUCAACCUUUCUUGGUUUCUUAACCGGGGAAGGCUUGGACUUUGGGGGUCUUUCAUUGCUGGCCUCUUUGAAGCCAGCUCCUCCUAAAUGGAUUAGUGUGGUCUGCUUUGCCGAUCCUUGACGUGAUAAGAUGUUUCUACGUCUUGGGUUUCGCACUGUCGCUUUAGACCCCGCUUCUAACCGUCUUGCAUUCAAGACAGAGUUUUAAACCUUGACCUCAAAUCGGGUGAGACUACCCGCUGAACUUAAGCAUAUCAAUAAGCGGAGGCU